Molecule: ribosomal RNA, 109 nt
Filed under: Paenilisteria rustica
Lineage: Bacteria; Bacillati; Bacillota; Bacilli; Caryophanales; Listeriaceae
Description: partial 23S ribosomal RNA
Rfam family: Bacterial large subunit ribosomal RNA
Source: RNAcentral
AUGGUUAAGUUAGAAAGGGCGCACGGUGGAUGCCUUGGCACUAGGAGCCGAAGAAGGACGGGACUAACACCGAUAUGCUUUGGGGAGCUGUACGUAAGCGUUGAUCCAG